Molecule: small nuclear RNA, 77 nt
Filed under: Rhinolophus ferrumequinum (greater horseshoe bat)
Lineage: Eukaryota; Metazoa; Chordata; Mammalia; Chiroptera; Rhinolophidae
Description: U2 spliceosomal RNA (ENSRFEG00010010142.1)
Rfam family: U2 spliceosomal RNA
About the family: U2 is a small nuclear RNA (snRNA) component of the spliceosome (involved in pre-mRNA splicing).
Source: Rfam by way of RNAcentral
AUCGCUUCUCGGCCUUUUGGCUAAGAUCAAGUGUAGUAUCAAAUUUAUUUUGCUAAAUGAAAGUAGCUGGACCAAAA